RNAcentral lists this unclassified non-coding RNA (434 nucleotides) under soil metagenome. Its description in RNAcentral is "partial contains 5.8S ribosomal RNA, internal transcribed spacer 2, and large subunit ribosomal RNA". The stretch from base 1 to 120 matches the Rfam family "5.8S ribosomal RNA", at positions 35 to 154 of the family's 154-position model. The record is from RNAcentral.
GAUGAAGAACGCAGCGAAAUGCGAUACGUAAUGUGAAUUGCAGAAUUCAGUGAAUCAUCGAAUCUUUGAACGCAUAUUGCGCUCUUUGGUAUUCCGAAGAGCAUGCUUGUUUGAGUAUCAGUAAACACCUCAAAGCUUUUGGAUUUUUUAAUCGAAAAGCUUUGGACUUGAGCAAUCCCAACACCAAUCUUUUUGAGAUCGGUGGCGGGUUGCUUGAAAUGCAGGUGCAGCUGGACAUUCUCCUGAGCUAAAAGCAUAUUCAUUUAGUCCCGUCAAACGGAUUAUUACUUUUGCUGCAGCUAACAUAAAGGGAGUUUGACCGUAUUGGCUGACUGAUGCAGGAUUUCACAAGGGUCGGCAACGAUUCUUCUUAAACUCGAUCUCAAAUCAAGUAAGACUACCCGCUGAACUUAAGCAUAUCAAUAAGCGGAGGA